AGUGAACGCUGGCGGUAGGCCUAACACAUGCAAGUCGAACGGCAGCACAGUAAGAGCUUGCUCUUACGGGUGGCGAGUGGCGGACGGGUGAGGAAUACAUCGGAAUCUACUUUUUCGUGGGGGAUAACGUAGGGAAACUUACGCUAAUACCGCAUACGACCUACGGGUGAAAGCAGGGGAUCUUCGGACCUUGCGCGAUUGAAUGAGCCGAUGUCGGAUUAGCUAGUUGGGGGGGUAAAGGCCCACCAAGGCGACGAUCCGUAGCUGGUCUGAGAGGAUGAUCAGCCACACUGGAACUGAGACACGGUCCAGACUCCUACGGGAGGCAGCAGUGGGGAAUAUUGGACAAUGGGCGCAAGCCUGAUCCAGCCAUACCGCGUGGGUGAAGAAGGCCUUCGGGUUGUAAAGCCCUUUUGUUGGGAAAGAAAAGCAGCAGGUUAAUACCCCGCUGUUCUGACGGUACCCAAAGAAUAAGCACCGGCUAACUUCGU
This 491-nucleotide ribosomal RNA is filed under the name uncultured bacterium. Its description in RNAcentral is "partial 16S ribosomal RNA". It matches the Rfam family "Bacterial small subunit ribosomal RNA", at positions 29 to 506 of the family's 1533-position model. The record is from RNAcentral.